GGAAGGACAGCAAUGGGUUUGUUACCCGCCUAUCUCUCUGUUUUGAAAACACAUCCAUUGGGGGCAGAUGAAACAUAGUUUGUGGUCUGUGCGUGCGCACAGUGUUGAUUUACCAGGACUGCACGAGUUAAAUUAUGAGGCUUUUUAAUUCCUGCAGGUUAGAAGGUCAUCGGGUGAUUUGAUGAAAGCUUUCAAUAUAUAAUGAGAAACAGGCUGGGUAGAUAGAGAGAAACUAUUCCAGCUGUUUGGGAAGUUGAGGGCUUAGGAUUGAAAAGUUAAGGUACAGCCUCUGAAGGAAAGAAAUGUGUACGAAAAAUGAGUGACGAUUUUGCAAAGGGAACAUUCCUCACUGUAACAAAGGAUUAACACCUAGUAUGCUGCCCAAUCUCCAGCAUUCUCUGUUUUCAUCCCAGGACUUUCUAGACUUUGCAGUAGUUUUAAACCACAUUUUAUGAGGCGGUUGUUGCUGUUAUGCAGAGAAAGGGAGACACUCACCUUCUGAAGAUGGUGUACUCUUUACAUCAGAAGCAUCUGAAACAGGCUCAUCUGAGACAGGGGAAGAAUCUGAAAGUGAAUAUGUGUACAAGGUUACAUUAUGCUGGAAGCAUCAGAGCCUUCUAAGUGCUCACACAAACUAAAUAUCAUCGAAAAUACCAGAGAAAUGUGUCACUCAUCUGGCUCAGUUUUUAAAUUCAUAAUAGGUCUUUCAGAUGAAACUAACUUGAUCGCUAAUUCAGAUGAAUACAAUUAAUUCUAGAGUGCUAAUCCAUAUCAGUACAAUUAACUCUAAAGCACUAAUCCAGAUGUACAAUGAAAUCUAGAGCACUACUCCAGAUUGGUAUAAUUUACUGUAAAAUUAUAGCACUAAUCCAAAUCAAUAGAAUGAUCACUGCGACAUUCAU
Molecule: long non-coding RNA, 902 nt
Organism: Rhincodon typus (whale shark)
Lineage: Eukaryota; Metazoa; Chordata; Chondrichthyes; Orectolobiformes; Rhincodontidae
Exons: 3
Source: RefSeq, a predicted model, not a curated record